Molecule: long non-coding RNA, 746 nt
Organism: Bombus pascuorum
Lineage: Eukaryota; Metazoa; Arthropoda; Insecta; Hymenoptera; Apidae
Exons: 2
Source: RefSeq, a predicted model, not a curated record
CUUUGUCGAGUGAGCGGGAAAGGGUGAGUCAUCCAAUACCAUCUUUUGAAGGCGACAAAGGCUGAUAGAGUGAAAUGGACUCGCCGCAGAUUCCCUCGCAGUUAACAGAGGGUUCACGGGCACCAUCUUCUGGUGUCUCAGGCAUAUGACGCGUCAAUUAUCGUGACUCGUAGAACGAGGACAAGAGGCUACAAGAUGGAGGUUCCACGGGAUACGGGGGCAAGGGGAUUUCUAGAAACUGUUGAAGAGGGCCGAAGCGAUAAUCAAGAGUGCUCGGAGGGUGGACUCACGUGGUGUACGGUGCCGUCGGCGGUUCUGGCAUCUCGCUUGGUCGGCCCUAGGCCGUCUCGUAUGCAGGGAGACGCGCGUCCCGACGCAGGGGGGGACGCCUUUCGCCGCCUCUCGACGUCUCACCUCGCCACGGGUACCCACAAGCAAAUCCCUGAUAAUGGCCACGCGCCCUCGCCCUCCACCUCCACAAUAUAUUCCAAGGGAAGUCUGCGAAAUUCAGGAAACGAGCUUGCCAAUUUUGAUCCAGAUAGACAGCAACCUGCGCAACAAUUUCACGAAAACGCUGGCAAGGGCAUACGUGCUCGCGGUUAACAGAAAAUACGACGACUGUCAUGGCGUCCCUCGCCCACCCCGCAGGAACUUACGCGUUUGGUGCAUCAUUUAGUCGAUUAGUUUUUCAUCGAUUUCUAUAAAAAAAUCACCCAAUAAAUAAACUUGCCAUAACGAAAAACAAA